Non-coding RNA from Sus scrofa (pig), 1105 nucleotides. NCBI's taxonomy places the organism in Eukaryota, Metazoa, Chordata, Mammalia, Artiodactyla, Suidae. The record is from RefSeq and is a predicted model, not a curated record.
CAGGGUUCUGAUUGGCAGCCUGGACGUGGGCUAUAAAUGCGGGCAGGGAGCCGAGCUCUCAUUCCACCGCCAGCACCGCUCCAGUAGCGAUGGCUCCCCUCGUGGCCUUGGUCCUGCUCGGGCUGCUCUCACUGUCUGGCCUGGAUGCGGUCGCGCGUCCCCCGAAGGUUCAGGUUUACUCACGCCACCCAGCGGAAAACGGAAAGCCAAAUUACCUGAACUGCUAUGUAUCUGGGUUCCAUCCGCCCCAGAUUGAAAUUGAUUUGCUGAAAAACGGGGAGAAGAUGAACGCGGAGCAGUCAGACCUGUCUUUCAGCAAGGACUGGUCUUUCUACCUUCUGGUCCACACUGAGUUCACUCCUAACGCUGUGGAUCAGUAUAGCUGCCGCGUGAAGCACGUGACUCUCGAUAAGCCCAAGAUAGUUAAGUGGGAUCGAGACCACUAACCGGCAUCACAGAGGGAACCUUGGCACUGAAAACCUGUUCAGAUUUCCUGUUACAUCCUGGGCCUGGCCGAUCAAUGUGAGGAACAUCAGAGAGUUUGGGUGCCCUUCCCAGAGAGACACAGUUUCUAAAUGAUUAUGAAGAUGCUGCAUCUGGGUUGGAUGAAUCCAAAUUCUGAUUUGUUGCUUUUUAAUACUGAUAAGCUUUUAUACUUUAUGCACAUAAAUCAGAAAUCGUAUUGAUGUUACCACAAAUGUUGUCUUCUUUGUAAUUCUACCUUGGGUGUAGUCUCCAUGUUUAAACUGUCUGAGCAGGUAGAUGUAGAGGGGGUGCCGGUAGCCUAGAGAUGUGGAGGAAAGAAUUUCAGGGUUAACAUCAAACAUCUUGGUCAUGUAUAAAGUCUUCAGUUUCAAAUGCACAUAAAACUAGAUAAUAAAACAGCAAUCUAACUUUAGAGUAAACCUCCAGUUCGUCAUUUUUCUCAGAAUUUUGGGAAAUUUUUCAAAAGAUAAUGUCAGAAUUAUUGGAAAUAUGUUAUAGAGUUGACAUUUUGUCAUGUAAAAUCAUAUUUACUUCUUACAUCUUUUGAUUGAGACAUAGUUGUGCUUGUUUUUAUUUUGUUUGUCCAACUAAACUGAUGGUAAAACUUGAUUUUUAGUAC